This 23-nucleotide non-coding RNA is filed under the name Arabidopsis thaliana (thale cress). Lineage: Eukaryota; Viridiplantae; Streptophyta; Magnoliopsida; Brassicales; Brassicaceae. The record is from RNAcentral.
CGCUAUGGCUCUCAAGGGAACUC